GAUGAACGCUGGCGGCGUGCUUAACACAUGCAAGUCGAACGGGAAAUAUUUCAUUGAGACUUCGGCGGAUUUGAUUUAUUUCUAGUGGCGGCCGGGUGAGUAACGCGUGGGUAACCUGCCUUAUACAGGGGGAUAACAGUCAGAAAUGGCUGCUAAUACCGCAUAAGCGCACAGAGCUGCAUGGCUCAGUGUGAAAAACUCCGGUGGUAUAAGAUGGACCCGCGUUGGAUUAGCUAGUUGGUGGGGUAACGGCCCACCAAGGCGACGAUCCAUGGCAGGGCUGAGAGGGUGAACGGCCACAUUGGGACUGAGACACGGACCAGACUCCUACGGGAGGCAGCAGUGGGGAAUAUUGCACGAUGGAGGAAACCGUGAUGCAGCGACGCCGCGUGAAGGAAGAAGUAUCUCGGUAUGUAAACUUCUAUCAGAAGGGAAGAUAGUGACGGUACCUGACUAAGAAGCCCCGGCUAACUACGUG
RNAcentral lists this ribosomal RNA (478 nucleotides) under uncultured bacterium. RNAcentral describes it as "partial 16S ribosomal RNA". It matches the Rfam family "Bacterial small subunit ribosomal RNA", at positions 28 to 507 of the family's 1533-position model. The record is from RNAcentral.